Molecule: ribosomal RNA, 253 nt
Filed under: uncultured bacterium
Lineage: Bacteria
Description: partial 16S ribosomal RNA
Rfam family: Bacterial small subunit ribosomal RNA
Source: RNAcentral
UACAGAGGGUGCGAGCGUUAAUCGGAAUUACUGGGCGUAAAGCGCACGUAGGCGGCUUGGUAUGUCGGGUGUGAAAUCCCCGGGCUCAACCUGGGAACUGCAUCCGAAACUGCCUUGCUCGAGUAUGGGAGAGGGAAGUGGAAUUUCCGGUGUAGCGGUGAAAUGCGUAGAUAUCGGAAGGAACAUCAGUGGCGAAGGCGGCGAUCUGGGUUGAUACUGACGCUGAGGUGCGAAAGCGUGGGGAGCAAACAGG